CCUACGGGGGGCAGCAGUGGGGAAUAUUGCACAAUGGGCGAAAGCCUGAUGCAGCAACGCCGCGUGAGCGAUGAACGCCUUCGGGUCGUAAAGCUCUGUCCUAAGGGACGAAUAUUGACGGUACCUCAGGAGGAAGCCCCGGCUAACUACGUGCCAGCAGCCGCGGUAAUACGUAGGGGGCUAGCGUUAUCCGGUAUUACUGGGCGUAAAGGGUGCGUAGGCGGCCCUUCAAGUCAGAGGUGAAAGGGUACGGCUCAACCGUAGUAAGCCUUUGAAACUGUGGGGCUUGAGUGCCGGAGAGGAGAGUGGAAUUCCCGGUGUAGCGGGGAAAUGCGUAGGUAUUGGGAGGAACACCAGUUGCGAAGGCGGCUCUCUGGACUGUAGCUGACGCUAAGGCACGAAAGUGUGGGGAGCGAACAGGAUUAGUUACCCGAGUAGUC
Molecule: ribosomal RNA, 440 nt
Filed under: uncultured bacterium
Lineage: Bacteria
Description: bacterial SSU rRNA
Rfam family: Bacterial small subunit ribosomal RNA
Source: RNAcentral